RNAcentral lists this ribosomal RNA (253 nucleotides) under uncultured bacterium. RNAcentral's name for it is "partial 16S ribosomal RNA". It matches the Rfam family "Bacterial small subunit ribosomal RNA", at positions 524 to 776 of the family's 1533-position model. The record is from RNAcentral.
UACAGGGGGGGCAAGCGUUGUUCGGAAUUACUGGGCGUAAAGGGCUCGUAGGCGGCCAACUAAGUCAUACGUGAAAUCCCUCAGCUUAACUGGGGAACUGCGUGUGAUACUGGAUGGCUUGGAUUUGGGAGAGGGAUGCGGAAUUCCAGGUGUAGCGGUGAAAUGCGUAGAUAUCGGAAGGAACAUCAGUGGCGAAAGCGACUUCCUGGACCAGUACCGACGUUCAGGCACGAAAACGUGGGGAGCAAACAGG